This is a long non-coding RNA of Felis catus (domestic cat), 959 nucleotides long. RefSeq lists it as uncharacterized. The transcript has 2 exons. The record is from RefSeq and is a predicted model, not a curated record. Lineage: Eukaryota; Metazoa; Chordata; Mammalia; Carnivora; Felidae.
CCCACGCCACCUCCCCGUCCCCGAACUGGCGUGCACAAAGUAUCUGCUGAUCUACCGUGUGCCAUGACUAGUGCAAUGAUGGUGCAAUGGUGACUGUCUAGUCUCGGAACAAAGCUGUCAGCAUUAGUGACAACGCCACUGAAAUCAGCAGCCAGGCUGCUCUGACCCACCAGUGCCGCGCGCAGGUGGAGUGGGGCUGCAUCGGUCACGGACGAGGAGGCUGGGCAGCUCCGCCGGGAACUCCCAAGUUAAGAGAACUUAAAAAUAGCUCUAUGCACCGUCCUGCCAGCUGACACCCCAGAUAUUUAAGGCUCACUCUGAAAUGAUGUCACGUUUCCAUUCUUGCGCUCCCAAAUUCCCUGACUUCCCUGGCCCUGCUUCUCCGAGCACCUUUCUCAGAGGAAUGAAGGCCUUCUCCAGGUGAUGUCUGCCUGCACUACACAGGGCCCAAAGACCUCGGGGGCCACGGCAGGGGCAGUGCUGGCAGCUGCCGGUCUGCGUGCUGGCUCUCCCCACUUCUGAGCGGGUGUGCUUUCUGCCAAAGCACCACGACGGGAGGGGACAGCUGCAGUGCUCCCUGCCCCCUCCCCCAGAGCUAUAAAAAGCCCCAACACCCAAGUGAGCAGAGGACACGCCGAGCAGAAGUGCAGAACUUUGCUGGACACGAGGAGCUCGGCUCAACGGCCAUGCUGAGGUUAGCCUCCGCCAGCAGGCUGCUGCCAGCCCCCCGGAGCGGCUGGGUGCUUCCCAAGGCACACGUCUCCGCUAAGCCAGCCAGAACACCCACUUCUCCCAUGGAGCAAGCCAUCGGGCUCUCGGUGAUGUUCCUCAGCUUCCUGAUUCCUGCAGGCUGGGUCUUACACCACCUGGAGAGCUACAAGAGAAGCUCGGCAGCAUGAAGGCUCUGUGGUUCCAGCUCCAGGCACAGGAUGAAAGAUCGCAUUAAACCCUUCCCUUCA